AGGCCUGUAGCUCAGCCUGGCUAGAGCACCGGUCUCCAAAACCGGGUGUCGGGGGUUCGAAUCCCUCCAGGCCUGCCA
This 78-nucleotide transfer RNA is filed under the name Candidatus Eiseniibacteriota bacterium. RNAcentral describes it as "tRNA-Trp". It matches the Rfam family "tRNA". From Rfam's summary of the family: Transfer RNA (tRNA) molecules are approximately 80 nucleotides in length. Their secondary structure includes four short double-helical elements and three loops (D, anti-codon, and T loops). Further hydrogen bonds mediate the characteristic L-shaped molecular structure. tRNAs have two regions of fundamental functional importance: the anti-codon, which is responsible for specific mRNA codon recognition, and the 3' end, to which the tRNAs corresponding amino acid is attached (by aminoacyl-tRNA synthetases). tRNAs cope with the degeneracy of the genetic code in two manners: having more than one tRNA (with a specific anti-codon) for a particular amino acid; and 'wobble' base-pairing, i.e. permitting non-standard base-pairing at the 3rd anti-codon position. Lineage: Bacteria; Candidatus Eiseniibacteriota. The record is from RNAcentral.